CAUGUGGUUUAAUUCGAUGAUACGCGAGGAACCUUACCUGGGCUCAAAUGUAUGUUGACGUAUUCUGAAAGGGAUACUUCUUCGGACAAUAUACAAGGUGCUGCAUGGUUGUCGUCAGCUCGUGCCGUGAGGUGUCGGGUUAAGUCCCAUAACGAGCGCAACCCCUAUCAUUAGUUGCCAUCAGGUCAAGCUGGGGACUCUAAUGAAACUGCCUACGCAAGUAGUGAGGAAGUGGGGAUGACGUCAAAUCAGCACGGCCCUUACGUCCAGGGCUACACACGUGCUACAAUGGCCGGUACAAAGGGCAGCUACCUGGUGACAGGAUGCUAAUCUCAAAAGCCGGUCUCAGUUCGGAUCGGAGUCUGCAACCCGACUCCGUGAAGCUGGAAUCGCUAGUAAUCGUGGAUCAGCCAAGCCGCGGUGAAUACGUUCCCGGGCCUU
Molecule: ribosomal RNA, 441 nt
Filed under: uncultured Sphingobacteriales bacterium
Lineage: Bacteria; Pseudomonadati; Bacteroidota; Sphingobacteriia; Sphingobacteriales
Description: bacterial SSU rRNA
Rfam family: Bacterial small subunit ribosomal RNA
Source: RNAcentral